This 712-nucleotide unclassified non-coding RNA is filed under the name Hevea brasiliensis (rubber tree). The record is from RNAcentral. Lineage: Eukaryota; Viridiplantae; Streptophyta; Magnoliopsida; Malpighiales; Euphorbiaceae.
AAUGAACUGUGUUUAUAUAUAUAUAUAUGUUUUUUCUGCAAGGCACUUCAAAAUUUUUUCUUGAAGCAUCAUUCGCUAAUGUUGCAAAGUUGGAGAAAAGGGUUAUCAAACUUUACAUAUCUAGACCAGAAAGGCUUGUAUUUGGAGAUAGCCAAAUCCAACCAAGGCUUGUAAUUUCCAUUGUAAUGAACUACAGCUGCAUUCUCAAUCUCCGUUUGGUUAAGGGCUGGAUCAUAACCAAGUCCCAGGACAUGCCAGGUACGAUCCAGUGGAAAGGUUAGAUUAUAGAAAGUGAUCAAUCCUGGUGGCAAUGUGCCCAAUUUCCAUAGAGUUCUAUCCUCAUUCAGAUCUUGCCAAUGAUGAUAUAUUCCAGUGAUAUUUUGCCUUCUCCACUCCUUCAAGUCAAACAUAUUCAUUCCAAAUGCCCAGCCACAAGCAUUUGGGCUGAAAUUCUCAUAGAUCUUUGGAUUAGAAAAAUUGAGAUACUUAUCAAACCUAUGAAAGCUCUCCUUACAAGUCUCCACUGCACCAUUUACCAUCCCCUUCAGAUCAACAGACCAAAGUGGCGUCAAAUCCUUCUGAACUACAAUAUCAUCAUCCAAAAAAAGGAUCUUAUCUAGCUUUGGGUAAACUUCAGGAAGGUAGAACCUAAGAUGAUUCAGCAUAGACAAAUAUUUUGGAUUCCUAUAUUUGAGAUUAUCAGAUCCAGCAG